AAGCUCGUAGUUGAAUUUCGGGCCUGGCUGGACGGUCCGCCCUUCGGGUGAGUACUGUCUGUGGUCGGGUCCUACCUUCUGGCGAAGCGUCAUGGCCUUAACCGGGCCGUGGCGGGGAACCAGGACUUUUACUGUGAAAAAUUAGAGUGUUCAAAGCAGGCAAUCGCUUGGGUACAUUAGCAUGGAAUAAUGGAAUAGGACAAUGGUUCUAUUUGUUGGUUUCUAGGACCGUUGUAAUGAUUAAUAGGGAUAGUUGGG
Molecule: ribosomal RNA, 258 nt
Filed under: uncultured Paraglomus
Lineage: Eukaryota; Fungi; Glomeromycota; Glomeromycetes; Paraglomerales; Paraglomeraceae
Description: partial 18S ribosomal RNA
Rfam family: Eukaryotic small subunit ribosomal RNA
Source: RNAcentral